AACGAACGCUGGCGGCAUGCCUAACACAUGCAAGUCGAACGAGACCUUCGGGUCUAGUGGCGCACGGGUGCGUAACGCGUCGGAACCUGCCCUUAGGUUCGGAAUAACUCCCCGAAAGGGGUGCUAAUACCGGAUAAUGUCUUCGGACCAAAGAUUUAUCGCCUUUGGAUGGGCCCGCGUUGGAUUAGCUAGUUGGUAGGGUAAAAGCCUACCAAGGCGACGAUCCAUAGCUGGUCUGAGAGGAUGAUCAGCCACACUGGGACUGAGACACGGCCCAGACUCCUACGGGAGGCAGCAGUGGGGAAUAUUGGACAAGGGGCGAAAGCCUGAUCCAGCAAUGCCGCGUGAGUGAUGAAGGCCUUAGGGUUGUAAAGCUCUUUUACCCGGGAUGAUAAUGACAGUACCGGGAGAAUAAGCUCCGGCUAACUCCGUG
Molecule: ribosomal RNA, 433 nt
Filed under: uncultured bacterium
Lineage: Bacteria
Description: partial 16S ribosomal RNA
Rfam family: Bacterial small subunit ribosomal RNA
Source: RNAcentral